GAUGAACGCUAGCGGCAGGCCUAACACAUACAAGUCAGGGGUAACAUAGGAAAGCUUGCUUUUCUGAUGACGACCGGCGCACGGGUGCGUAACGCGUAUACAACCUACCUUUUAGCGGGGAAUAGCCCAGGGAAACUUGGAUUAAUGCCCCAUAGUAUAUAGACUUCUCCUGAAGUUUAUAUUAAACAUUUAUGGCUAUUAGAUGGGUAUGCGUCCUAUUAGUUAGUUGGUAAGGUAACGGCUUACCAAGGCAGCGAUAGGUAGGGGUCCUGAGAGGGAGAUCCCCACACUGGUACUGAGACACGGACCAGACUCCUACGGGAGGCAGCAGUGAGGAAUAUUGGACAAUGGGCGAGAGCCUGAUCCAGCCAUGCCGCGUGCAGGAAGACUGCCCUAUGGGUUGUAAACUGCUUUUACAGAGGAAGAACCACCCCACGUGUGGGGGUUUGACGGUACUCUGCGAAUAAGGAUCGGCUAACUCCGUG
RNAcentral lists this ribosomal RNA (485 nucleotides) under uncultured bacterium. Its description in RNAcentral is "bacterial SSU rRNA". It matches the Rfam family "Bacterial small subunit ribosomal RNA", at positions 28 to 507 of the family's 1533-position model. The record is from RNAcentral.